This 66-nucleotide transfer RNA is filed under the name Astalotermes sp. B TB-2017. Its description in RNAcentral is "tRNA-Asn". Lineage: Eukaryota; Metazoa; Arthropoda; Insecta; Blattodea; Termitidae. The record is from RNAcentral.
UUAGCUGAAACCAAAAAGAGGUAUAUUAUUGUUAAUAAUAAAACUGAAUGAAUUAUUCCAGCUAAG